RNAcentral lists this ribosomal RNA (119 nucleotides) under Pteropus alecto (black flying fox). The record is from RNAcentral. Lineage: Eukaryota; Metazoa; Chordata; Mammalia; Chiroptera; Pteropodidae.
GUCUACGGCCAUGCCACCCUGAACAAGCCCAAUCCCGUCUGAUCCCAGAAGCUAAGCAGGGACGGGCCUGGUUAGUACUUGGAUGGGAGACCACCUAGGAAGACCAGGUGCUGUAGGCG